RNAcentral lists this ribosomal RNA (543 nucleotides) under uncultured bacterium. Its description in RNAcentral is "bacterial SSU rRNA". It matches the Rfam family "Bacterial small subunit ribosomal RNA", at positions 777 to 1319 of the family's 1533-position model. The record is from RNAcentral.
AAUAGAUACCCAGGUAGUCCACGCCGUAAACGAUGAGUGCUAAGUGUUAGGGGGUUUCCGCCCCUUAGUGCUGCAGCUAACGCAUUAAGCACUCCGCCUGGGGAGUACGGUCGCAAGACUGAAACUCAAAGGAAUUGACGGGGGCCCGCACAAGCGGUGGAGCAUGUGGUUUAAUUCGAAGCAACGCGAAGAACCUUACCAGGUCUUGACAUCCCAUUGACCGCUAUGGAGACAUAGCUUUCCCUUCGGGGACAAUGGUGACAGGUGGUGCAUGGUUGUCGUCAGCUCGUGUCGUGAGAUGUUGGGUUAAGUCCCGCAACGAGCGCAACCCUUGUUCUUAGUUGCCAUCAUUUAGUUGGGCACUCUAAGGAGACUGCCGGUGACAAACCGGAGGAAGGUGGGGAUGACGUCAAAUCAUCAUGCCCCUUAUGACCUGGGCUACACACGUGCUACAAUGGACGGUACAAACGGUUGCCAACCCGCGAGGGGAGCUAAUCCGAUAAAACCGUUCUCAGUUCGGAUUGUAGGCUGCAACUCGCCUAC